Hyaena hyaena (striped hyena) is the source of this 315-nucleotide long non-coding RNA. RefSeq lists it as uncharacterized. The record is from RefSeq and is a predicted model, not a curated record. Lineage: Eukaryota; Metazoa; Chordata; Mammalia; Carnivora; Hyaenidae. The transcript is spliced from 3 exons.
AGAGCGAUUGGGAAAUGUAUACGGCCUAGCCAGGCCUAGCUCAUCAUUAGGAAAUGGGAGAAGGUGUAGCUUCCCAAAGGAGGAGCUCAGCAGUGGAGGAGGGAAAAAAAGGGAAGAAAGAUGCUCCAAUUCAUCUACUGAGAAAAAGACGUAGAAAAGGAAGUGAGCAUGAGCAAGUUAAUGUCGCACCAUUCUAAGAAACUGUGCUCCAGAAACUGAUUUUCAAAUUUGCUUGAAGGGUGAUUGUCAAAGAGACCACCAAACAACCAACAGAAGCGAGGCAAGAUUUUAUUUACGGCCGGGCCAAACCUGAUC